This is a long non-coding RNA of Bubalus bubalis (water buffalo), 408 nucleotides long. RefSeq lists it as uncharacterized. The record is from RefSeq and is a predicted model, not a curated record. Lineage: Eukaryota; Metazoa; Chordata; Mammalia; Artiodactyla; Bovidae. The transcript has 4 exons.
AACAGAGUGUAGUUGUCAUUAACCUCAAUGUCAUAAAACUAAAGAAAGCAAAAGUGAGGCUGACAGAGGCUGGGUGGAAGAAGAGAAAACAAAAGGACACUGGUGUUGUGGACUGUUCCUCUUUGAAUUUGUGUGAUAAUUCUUCAUCAAAGAGAUUCAGGCUAUGCAGUGUGGCAAGAACACCACAGAAGUGAUGCACAGGGGGUCUCAGUUCCCCAACCAGGGAUUGAAACUGCGCCCUCUAUAUUAGAAGUAUGGAGGACUAACCACUGGACUGCAAGGGAAGUCCCAGGAAAGGAGGCAGAAGGAUAUCUGACUACAGUAGAGUAGACAAUGUGACAAUGGAGAUUACAGUGAUGCAACCAGAAGUCAAGGAACGUUGCAGGCUCUGACUUGGAAAGAGACAAG